CACGUGGAGAAGCAGUGUGAGCCAGGGAUGACUUAACAGAUGUGCCACUUGUUGAGGGAAAGGUUUGGUUUGUUGAUGGGUUGAGUUUUACAACAGCAGAGGGACAGACUAAAACAGGUUUUACUGUAGUAGAUGGUGAGAAAGUUAUCUGUGCAGGACAACUAGCAUGUUUCAUAUUUGCUUGAGCAGCAGAGAUAGUAGCUUUAACGGAAGCGUGUAAUGCUGAAGAGAGACAAAAUACACUGAUAGCCAAUAUGCAUUUGCUACAUUACACUUCUUUGUAGUGCAGUGGGUGAGACGAGGUGUGACAACCUCUAUAGGGAAGCCUGUAGAACACGCCAAACUCUUGCAAAAUCUGCUGGAGGCAGUGUUAUUACCCAGUAGAAUUGCCAUUUGUAAAUGUGUAGCACACAUGUGAGGGAAAGAUCCAGUUGCAUUAAGGAAUGCUUUUGCACAUAGGAUCGCAAGAGAGGCAACUUUAGGAAAACAUGGUGUUAAUAUUUUAGCACUGCAACACCAGUAGACGUUGCCUAUUAUGCGAGAUGCACUGGCAGACAUGCAGGCCCACUCACCUACUGCAGGAAAACAGUUGUGACUUACAGAAGGAGCGAGCUUGCAGGAUGGUGUUUAUUAUCUGUGUGAUAAACCAAUACUGUCUUAGAAUUUGUAUAAGACUGCUGCUAUUUUGAGCCAUGGGCUAUGCCAUGUCUCCACAGGGGGGAGAAGAUGAUGGCAGCAGUAGUUUAUACUCUAGGAUUAAAUACCUUUUAAAAAAAAAUUUGCAGGGAGAGAGAACUAAUGGAACAGUAAAGCUAAGACUCAGGAAGUCAAUGGAAGAGACAGGCAGGACAUGGUUAGACUGUGUAGAAUUAGUUAAGAUGUACAUGAGGAUUACUCUAACAGAGAACGGUCUGACUCUUUGAGAUUAUAUAUGUUAGAGCAUUUAGAGUUCUAGUCUUCUGUAGUGAUGAUAGAAGAGCAGAAGAGAGAGCAUAUUAGCAGAUUAGAUGCUUAAAAUGUUUAAAAAUAAAGAAGUCUUGAGAACAAAUGAUCUGCCAGAUGAUUCUGUUUCUCCGCAGGAGCAGAGUCUGAAGUCUGGAGAUUUGAUGUUGAUAAGGCCAUGGAGAGGAAGUGCUGGUCCAGUCCACGGUGGGAAGGUCCCUAUCAGGUGCUGCUGACGACGCUCACAGCAGUGAAGAUUGCUGGAAGAAACACUUGGAUACAUCAAGCGCACUGCAAGAAGGUAACACACUUCCUGGCCGACUCUGGGUGAUGGUGAAAAGGCCAGCGGUACAAAGGAGGGAGUAUAUCUCUAGGACCUCUCGUCUCAAUCCUGGUGAAGAAACCAACGGAUCCAAAACCCAACUUAGAAUGGCUGGGAAUGUGCUGUUCGCCUUCUUGACCCUGUGGACCCCGAGUGGAAUGACAGGGAGCGCAAUGGGACGGAGCAAACCACACCCAGUACCCGCAUGGGUUUUCAACUAACUACUGGUGGCAGUUUAAGAACAAAACCGCUCACAUAAAGAACGAGACCAAUUGUUAUGCUAGUGAUGCCACUGGCUACACAUUCUUCUGGACUGUGGCCAUAUAGCAUCACUGAGAGCGAGACAGUUGUUUGGUUGCCUUAGCAACACAUCCAGGAGUUAAAGUACUUGGAACACUGCCAACUUUUCAACUCCUCUGAACCUGAAUGGAAGGUUGAUUCACCAGUAGCUGGGAAGGUGAACUGCUCUGGUAAGACAGACCUGCUAGUCUGACUCCAAGAAUCUGACUUGCUGCAGGACAUUGAACAGCUAAACAAACUGGAAACAGGCCAGUUGCCUAUGUGUAUGAAGGGCAAUGGAUUAGUCCAAGUUGGAGAUUUACCAUGGAAUUUGUGCAAGAUCACCUAUUCUUUGUGUCCUCUGCAAGAAGGAUAUAGACGAAACUGUCAUUCCAUUAAUGACAGACAGUGACCUGGCAAAGUACAUCCCCAAAGUUGGCGAUAGAGUCUCCACUGUGGCCUUUUGCAGACAAGCAACACUGUCACGGACGUCACCAUCCAGGAAAGAAUCUAUAUUCUCAAGGCUACAACAAAGACUGACAGGAGCUGAGGGAAUGCCUCCUAAAAAGAGAUUGUCUCAGUGGGCAGAAAAUACAAAUGCAAAACGAACAGUGAGACGAAUUGAGGUUGGCUGGAUGCAUUUUGAUGAGGAGAAGGACGGGUUCAAACAGGUGAAGUCUGUAAGUGGUGGUGGAACAAGGCAUUUAUCUGUAGAUAAAAAUGAAACAGUGUCAAAUAUCAAACUUAUGGCUGAAAAUCUUUUUUCCCCAGUGGUAUCUCAAAAAACCCCAAAAGUCUUUGUUGGGAUUCAGAGAUUCUUUUAUUGCUGCCAUAUAACCUGCCUUAUGAUAAAUGCAUUAAGAACAUGUUUUACAGCAUUAUUUUAUCAGUAAUAUUUCUUACAGGGUUCAUAUUGCAUUGAAUAUGUUUGUCAUCACAUUCAUUCUAUUCACAGGUUUAGUUCAUUUUAUACACAUUGCAUAUCUGUGCUUGUUUAGAGUUGAUGUUCCAUCCAAGAGGGUUUUAAGCUUCACUGGUGAGAGUGUCCAGGUGAUACAUGUUGAGGGAAGAUGAGAAAAUAGCAGGUUAAUUGCAUGCAUGCUUACAAUACACAUAUUAAUCUAGUAGCAGGCCUGAGCGAAGGCCCAAGUGUCUUCUGCUUUUCUUUGAGACCUGCUGCAAUUCUGUCUACUUAGUGAUUGGUGACGAGGGUCAAUUAUUAGCCCUUAGAGACCCUGAAGCUUGAAGUUUAUUACCUUAAAAGGCAAGUGUUAUAGAAAAGAGAAGUUACAUGUCUGUUUAUAGUUAUUAGAGAUGUACAAGCUGUACCCUUGUCUGUAAACAAUGACUGUACAUAAUGUAUUUUUGACCUGUGUUGACGUGUAUGUGUGGGCGUUAAUUUUCUAUGCUAUAAAACCAGCAUUCAUUGUAUUUUUGUCAGAGGAAGACAUAUGCUGAUGUUUCUUCUCCGGUGUUAAUAAACUCAUCGUUUGAUUGCACUUGUCUGGUGCCUCCGUCGUUUGUUGUUCUGGUCUCCAAUUGAUUGAUAUCGCACGAUAUCUUCCACACUAUUCAACUCAUAUUGAGAGCUCACAG
Oreochromis aureus is the source of this 3139-nucleotide long non-coding RNA. Lineage: Eukaryota; Metazoa; Chordata; Actinopteri; Cichliformes; Cichlidae. The record is from Ensembl.